RNAcentral lists this ribosomal RNA (246 nucleotides) under uncultured bacterium. Its description in RNAcentral is "partial 16S ribosomal RNA". It matches the Rfam family "Bacterial small subunit ribosomal RNA", at positions 57 to 305 of the family's 1533-position model. The record is from RNAcentral.
GCAAGUCGAACGAUGAAGCCUAGCUUGCUAGGUGGAUUAGUGGCGCACGGGUGAGUAAUAUAUAGAUAACGUGCCUCUUAGUCUGGGAUAGCCAUUGGAAACGAUGAUUAAUACUAGAUAUUCCUUCUAAUUCUAAUGUUAGAUGGGAAAGUUUUUCGCUAAGAGAUCGGUCUAUAUCCCAUCAGCUAGUUGGUAGUGUAAGAGACUACCAAGGCAAUGACGGGUAGCGGGUUUGAGAGGAUGAUC